GAUUAAGCUAGAAAGAGCUUAUGGUGGAUGCCUUGGCAUUCAGAGUUGAAGAAGGACGCGACCGGCUGCGAAAAGCCGUGGGGAGCUGCUAAAUAAGCGUAGAUCCGCGGAUAUCCGAAUGGGGCAACCCACCAGUGUGGAGCACUGGUAUUAUGUGGUGAAAUAAGUAGCCAUGUAAGAACAAGCAGGAGAACUGAAACAUCUUAGUACCCUGAGGAAAAGAAAUCAAAAUGAGAUUCCCUUAGUAGCGGCGAGCGAAAGGGGAAGAGUCCAAACACUUAAAGUGUAAGUCUGUAGACGUUGCUUUAAGUGGGUGUAGGAUAGACUGUACUAAAAGCUACAGUCUUUUGGCUGACUUAAAUUUUUUACCGAGUCGAAUGAACUGGGAAGUUCAACCGUAGGAGGUAAUAGUCCUGUAGACGUAAGGUAAAAG
RNAcentral lists this non-coding RNA (433 nucleotides) under Halanaerobium saccharolyticum subsp. saccharolyticum DSM 6643. Its description in RNAcentral is "Bacterial large subunit ribosomal RNA". It matches the Rfam family "Bacterial large subunit ribosomal RNA", at positions 1 to 392 of the family's 2925-position model. Lineage: Bacteria; Bacillati; Bacillota; Clostridia; Halanaerobiales; Halanaerobiaceae. The record is from Rfam by way of RNAcentral.